CCUACGGGAGGCAGCAGUAGGGAAUUUUCCACAAUGGGCGAAAGCCUGAUGGAGCAACGCCGCGUGGGUGAAGAAGGUCUUCGGAUCGUAAAACACUGUUGUUAGAGAAGAAAGUGCGUGAGAGUAACUGUUCACGUUUCGACGGUAUCUAACCAGAAAGCCACGGCUAACUACGUGCCAGCAGCCGCGGUAAUACGUAGGUGGCAAGCGUUAUCCGGAUUUAUUGGGCGUAAAGGGAACGAAGGCGGUCUUUUAAGUCUGAUGUGAAAGCCUUCGGCUUAACCGGAGUAGUGCAUUGGAAACUGGGAGACUUGAGUGCAGAAGAGGAGAGUGGAACUCCAUGUGUAGCGGUGAAAUGCGUAGAUAUAUGGAAGAACACCAGUGGCGAAGGCGGCUCUCUGGUCUGUAACUGACGCUGAGGUUCGAAAGCGUGGGUAGCAAACAGGAUUAGAUACCCUUGUAGUC
RNAcentral lists this ribosomal RNA (465 nucleotides) under uncultured bacterium. RNAcentral's name for it is "partial 16S ribosomal RNA". It matches the Rfam family "Bacterial small subunit ribosomal RNA", at positions 338 to 795 of the family's 1533-position model. The record is from RNAcentral.